This 427-nucleotide ribosomal RNA is filed under the name uncultured bacterium. RNAcentral describes it as "bacterial SSU rRNA". It matches the Rfam family "Bacterial small subunit ribosomal RNA", at positions 355 to 774 of the family's 1533-position model. The record is from RNAcentral.
UAGGGAAUAUUGGACAAUGGGGGCAACCCUGAUCCAGCCAUGCCGCGUGAGUGAAGAAGGCCCUCGGGUUGUAAAGCUCUUUUGUCCGGAAAGAAAAGCUUCGGGUUAAUACCCCGGGGUUCUGACGGUACCGGAAGAAUAAGCACCGGCUAACUACGUGCCAGCAGCCGCGGUAAUACGUAGGGUGCGAGCGUUAAUCGGAAUUACUGGGCGUAAAGCGUGUGCAGGCGGUUUUGUAAGACAGAUGUGAAAUCCCCGGGCUUAACCUGGGAACUGCGUUUGUGACUGCAAGGCUGGAGUACGGCAGAGGGGGGUGGAAUUCCACGUGUAGCAGUGAAAUGCGUAGAGAUGUGGAGGAACACCGAUGGCGAAGGCAGCCCCCUGAGCCUGUACUGACGCUCAUGCACGAAAGCGUGGGGAGCAAACA